RNAcentral lists this ribosomal RNA (250 nucleotides) under uncultured prokaryote. RNAcentral's name for it is "partial 16S ribosomal RNA". It matches the Rfam family "Bacterial small subunit ribosomal RNA", at positions 524 to 773 of the family's 1533-position model. The record is from RNAcentral.
UACGUAGGUGGCAAGCGUUGUCCGGAUUUACUGGGUGUAAAGGGCGUGUAGGCGGGUUUGCAAGUCAGAUGUGAAAUCCCGGGGCUUAACUCCGGAACUGCAUCUGAAACUGUAAAUCUUGAGUACUGGAGAGGAAAGUGGAAUUCCUAGUGUAGCGGUGAAAUGCGUAGAGAUUAGGAGGAACACCAGUGGCGAAGGCGGCUUUCUGGACAGUAACUGACGCUGGGGCGCGAAAGCGUGGGGAGCAAAC